Numida meleagris (helmeted guineafowl) is the source of this 5340-nucleotide long non-coding RNA. RefSeq lists it as uncharacterized. The transcript has 3 exons. NCBI's taxonomy places the organism in Eukaryota, Metazoa, Chordata, Aves, Galliformes, Numididae. The record is from RefSeq and is a predicted model, not a curated record.
CAGGGAAGGAGGGGGAGCUGGAGGUGCUGAAGCAUCCCUCGUGGAGGGUCCUCAAUCCUCCCAGCUGGAGGGGGACUCGCUCAAAAAAAGAGCACUACUUCACCGAGAAGUUAAUACGCUUAAAAGCAAUGCAAUACAAAGGCUUCCUAUAAUUUUUGCUGCACCCAUCAUCGUUAAGAAAUGAAGAGCGUAGAGAGGAAAAACAGGGCCUUCGGUCUCUUUGCAUCACCUCGGGAGUGAAAGCUUUCAGAAAACCGCCAGGUUGUGCAAGAACUGCCAUGAAGUGCAAGAGGCGGCAGUGCAGCUGCCAUGGAGACCGGGCCUGGCAUCGCCCGCUUUUCUACUCACACCCCCGCCAGGGAGGCUCCAGCCCCAGUGAGUUAUUGCAGUAAUUAAUAGCCAGCACUUACACAUCGUCAAAACGCUUUACAAACAACACCUAACCUCAUUAAAUCGUGAAUCGCCGUGUUGUCAUCCUGUCGAGGAAUGAAGACCGUUACUGCUUCCUCCACAUCCCUGCGGGACGGAGUCAGUUUGCUGGUGCAGUGGGCAAUCCGGAGCUGCCAGCAGAUAGCACCCGAUAGAGAGCACGUGUACCGGGAUCCAAAGCAUAUCUGAGCAGCCCAGAUGACUGCCUAGAAAGAGAACGCUCUUUGUUCUUGUGUACUUGUCCUGAGCCAGGAUAAAUGAAAGGAAAACAAAGUGCCAAACACCAUCCUUCCACAGUUUGGUCUACCUCCGGUAGGUCAGUGAAUGGAAAGAAUGUGAAUGGAAAGAAUGUUUCACCAGCUUUGGAACCGCCAGGUUUGGAACCUCAACAAGGUUUAACACAGAAAUAAAGGAAGGUUCUAGAAAGAUAGUAACAUAUUUUUAAAAAAGGAAAGUAUAGACACCUCAGAAAGGGGAAGCAAAGGUAGAUUUUCAGUAAACAAUUCUCCUUGUCUAAAGCAGGAGAUAGACUAACUUGUCUGAUUGAAUAAGCUUCUCAAUACUCGUUACCUAAGUGGCGGAUACAGGGGGUCUGGCAACACAAAUUUUGAAAGACACUGUUCAAGUCUUUCAUCAAAUCUUUAAAAAAAACUUCAUAGUGGAUUGUGAGGAAAGAAAAACAGCAAAACAUGAACCAAAAACUAAAAGAGAUGAAACGGGAAAACAAGUGGUCAUUUAAAAUGAGAGUGAAAAGCCAGAAUGGUGGAGUGUUUUUAAGAUUUUGUGCCAGAACUUGUGUUGUGAACACCCUUACAGACAAUCUAGAAAAAGGGCUGUACAAAAGAAAAACACAUUUGUAGAGGACACGAGAACGUGGGACAGAUGCAGAAGAUAUUCAGAGUGACCCAAUUGUGCAGAUUGCUGCUUUUCUCUGUAUACAAGAAAUUAUGGAUUUCACCUCAUUAUUCCCUUGAGCUUCACAGGAGAACAUGAAGCAAUAAGACAAACUCAAGCAUGAAAUAUAAAAUGGCCGAAGCAUAGCAGAGCACGUGAAAAUAACUCCCAAUGAAGUUCUGGACUGCAUUGCUACAGGUAAGGGGGUAGAAGUAAAAAAACAAACAAACAAACAAACACAAAAUGACCCUCUAUGAUUGUUCUUCUGUCCCAGGAAGGGCGUCUCCUCCGCUAUAAGGGAAAGACAGAAUAGUAGGAGUUGGCCUACCUGCUUAUUAUGGUCUGUCUGCACACUACACUUGCAUUUGAGAUGUAACUAGUUACAGCCAUUGUGCCAUCCCUUUUUUAUUUAAAGAAUAAAAUCUCACUACACCAGUACCGCUCCCAACACCAGCAUUGUUUGGCUAAUUAUUCACCCAGCGGACAUACAAACUUCACGUUGCUGGGAUGCUUUGGGAUGAAAAAUGUGACUUGUCAACCUCUCAUCUCCAUAAAACCGAUCCAGAUGAUUGGAGUAUGACUCUACUGUGUCCUGUGGGGAGCUCUCAGACUGCUUUUGCAGAGGUGUGCUGCUCUUAUAGAGAUGAAUGCAGAGUGAGGAAAGCGUGCAGCUUCUAUUUUGGUAAUAAGUGGUUCGGUAAUGUGUGGUUUGAUGGCAUAUUUUUCAGCCCAGAGCAGCCCCACUGGGCACAAAGCUCAAAAGGAACAGUAGUGCAAGUCCUCAGAAAAAAAAAAAAAAUCAGGAAAAUAAAUCUCACAUUAGGUAGAGCAAUUAAUUGGCUGCUUUAUAUGUACUCUACUGCUAUAUGCUGAAUAGGAAUCGAGCAGCUUAAGAACACAGAUGUUCAAUUUUAAAAGCAGUCUUUCUUUGGUUGGAAUUGUAAUGGUAUUUUUAUAAGUAGAAGUUUUGAUUUUAAUGUUAUUCCCAUUGAGAGGUGCUAAACAUAGGCACCCCACACUGUAACUCUUCUUUUCAGCUUGGCCUCGGAUUUUAAAUUGCAUUCUUAAAUAUAAACAAUAAUAAUGCUCUACUGAAAGCAGUUUUAAAGACCCAUGGUCCACACUGUCUGCCUAAAGGGAGGCGGGGAAAUUAAAACUGAAAGAGAGAAAUAUUCCAGUAAUAAAAGCUACAGCAGAGUAGACAACAAACGGAGUGCAGCAUUUCAACUCUUUUUAAAGCUGUAUCGUGUCACGGUCUAUUCAACUGUAUAUCAGCACAAACUUUCUGUACAGCAAACAUGCCCUCUGUGUGUCACAAAGCACGAAUGUAUACGCGAGAGUCUCACACAGUGCAGCACCAAAAGCACAGAAAAAAUAAAUAUUGAAAAACAACAUUACGGAAUGCUUGCUCUGGAAAAUUACUAUCAGGGACAAAACAAAUCCACGCCAGAACACAGCCCUGUGGCAUUACAGUAUCCCUCGGGCAAAUGGGGAAAGAGAACCCAGCGUGCAGCUAGACUACCAACACUGGCACACAGACUGAAAGACACCUCAGCACAGUGUUUGUGGAAAGUAUCAGUGAUCUGUCAGGCCUCGAGCAGUCAUGUGUAAUAAAGCUCAUCUGUUACGGGUACCUACCUGUGUUGCAUAGCUAGGCACAAGGCAGUAUUUUCUUACUGCUAAAAAUACAUCCCUCCCCUCUCCAAAAUGACAAAAGUAUAACUUUGCCUGACCUAUUUUUCGUCCUCAUUCAUUCUGUGGAAAUCUUGUAAAAUUGACACCUAAUUUCCAGGUGCUGUUGCUUAGCUUCCUAAAUUAUUAAUAGGAGUGUAAUAAUUAUCCCUUUUUAUCAUUACAUGGGACAGCCAAUAGAUGCAAAGUGUGCAAUCACAUCACCACCCUCAUAUCCGAGCAUGUUUACAAUAUCAGAAGAUCCCUCUACCAUUGUCAAUGAAUAUGCUGUAUUACAAAGAUAUAUUUUAUGUCAUGAACUAAUGAUAUACUCUACUGGUCUAACAUAAUUGUGUUAGCAGAGAUCCAGGGUAGAGCACAAAAUUUGGUACAUAAUUGGAAAAUAUGGACCAAAUCUAGGAUGUCUGACAUGGUAGCCACCACAGACAGCUCUUUUCUCUGGUGACAAGCGAUAGGAUGUGAGGAAAAGGCCUCAAGUUUUGCCAGGGGAGGUUCAGACUGGGUAUUGGAAGAAUUUCUUCAUGGAGGGGGAAGCCAAGCACUGGAACGGGCUGCCCAGGUCAGUGGGGAGGCCCAGUCCCUGGGGGCAUUCAGGAGACAUGUGGACAUGGCAGUAGUGGUGGGACUCAGUACAUUAGGUUGAUGGUUGGACUCAGUGAUCUGGAAGGUCUUUUCCAACCCAGGUGGUUCUAUGAUUUGGUUAGUGUAUUCAAGAGCGGUGUCAGGUGGAGCCAGAAGGCUUCAGUGCGUGGGGUGCACUUUGUGUGCUGAUCCUGAUGUGGGUUUAGAAAGAAGAAAUGAGAUGUACAGAGAAGAAGUGAGACUAGUUAUGGGGAGUGUGAGGGAACUACUGAGGAAUGGGAAAACUUAAUGCAUCUUCUAAACGUUCAGAAUUAUUUCGAAAGUGAAAACGAGGGAUAUUUCCAUUUCACAGCAUCUUCACAGCUAUACUUGUACCAGCAAAGCUGCGUCAGCAGGGUUUCCUAUUAGCAACACAACCAACAGGAACAGCUUUUCUGCUACCUUAGCUGUCCAGUCUCCCAGGUCCAAUGCCAGACAUCGUCAUCUAGUCCUUCUGGCUGAGUGGGCUGAAGAUGUUCUGACUCACAGUUGUCCAUCAGCAUCUGCCAGCUGUGAAUUACACAGCUGGGUGUGCAAAACGAAUCCUGUGAGAGUUCUCAUUUGCUUUGAACACAGCUGCUAAACACUUUCAUCAGCACUUCAUAUCACUCCACUGGACCUUGCUAGGGCACAGUAUCUUCUGCCUGCAAAUAAAGAGGGCUGCAGCCUCCAUAAUAAAAGCAAUGAUAAGCCACAAGUGGACACUAAAGCCACUACUGGCAAUAUGAACGUCAAGUCAUGGCCUGAACAAUAUGAAUCAAAUUAACAAAAGCACCUGCUGCUCAACAGUGGUGCAUCUACACCUGCAACUUUUACUGACACAGCUGUCAGCAGACCUUUGUUGUACCAAAGCUCGAGGCCACAGCCCCUGCUGGAUUUAGCUGUAUCUGCUGGAGAUGUUUUUACUCGGGGACCUGUGAAGUAUAGAAAUAUUCUGCCUGCAUAACUCAAUUCAACAGAGAUUCUUAAAUGGAGCUCCUCACUACCAGAAUGCACAUCUCACAAAGCUCAGCUCACUGAUGUUACAAGGUGCUCAUCAAGGGGGUGAGAAACAACCCACCUGCUGCCUUUGCUCUGCAUCUACCACCCUCUAGGAGAGAAGCAGUGCAGACAAGUCAGGGCAGAAACCUCUUAAAUUACCCUUGCACACAUGGCCGACCUUCAAGAGACUAGGCUGUAGACCGAGCCAGCUGUGGGAAAAUCAGGCAUUUAGCAAAACACUAAGAAGAUAAAUCAGGAUGAGAUAGGGGGAGUCUGGUUGCAGGUGGAAAACAGGGAACUGGAGCCCAGCUAAGAGGGAUGGGACAAAGAACAAGUAAUGAGUACCAAGCGAUCUGGGCAACUGCUUUCGCCCUCCUGCUGCCCUGCCCAUCUGCUUGGAAUUUGUUUUCAAAACGAGCCCUAUUUUCCCUAUUCCUGUCCUGAUCCAAACUCGCAUAUUGUGGAUCUGGUGCUGUCACUCAAAACCGUAACAAAAGAAAAGCUGAACUGAGAAACAAAGAAAACUCAUUAUUUAAUGCACGCUGACAGAUUUCUUUCAGCUAUUUUCCUUUAACUCAUUCAGGUCCGAGUCUUCUGGCCGGUUUAUCACGGACAUUCAAAGACAACAACGAUUUUAAAUGACUAACUGUUAGAAAUUCAUCACAAGUCCUGCCCGUGUCUGACAUUUAAGGCCAAACAACCACACACUGUUGGAGAACCCCU